GGGUUGUGAGGUUAAGCGACUAAGCGUACACGGUGGAUGCCCUGGCAGUCAGAGGCGAUGAAGGACGUGCUAAUCUGCGAUAAGCGCCGGUAAGGUGAUAUGAACCGUUAUAACCGGCGAUUUCCGAAUGGGGAAACCCAGUGUGUUUCGACACACUAUCAUUACGUGAAUACAUAGCGUAAUGAAGCGAACCGGGGGAACUGAAACAUCUAAGUACCCCGAGGAAAAGAAAUCAACCGAGAUUCCCCCAGUAGCGGCGAGCGAACGGGGAGGAGCCCAGAGCCUGAAUCAGCAUGUGUGUUAGUGGAAGCGUCUGGAAAGGCGCGCGAUACAGGGUGACAGCCCCGUACACAAAAGCGCAUGUGCUGUGAGCUCGAUGAGUAGGGCGGGACACGUGGUAUCCUGUCUGAAUAUGGGGGGACCAUCCUCCAAGGCUAAAUACUCCUGACUGACCGAUAGUGAACCAGUACCGUGAGGGAAAGGCGAAAAGAACCCCGGCGAGGGGAGUGAAAAAGAACCUGAAACCGUGUACGUACAAGCAGUGGGAGCACAGGUUUACCUGUGUGACUGCGUACCUUUUGUAUAAUGGGUCAGCGACUUAUAUUCUGUAGCAAGGUUAACCGAAUAGGGGAGCCGGAGGGAAACCGAGUCUUAACCGGGCGUUAAGUUGCAGGGUAUAGACCCGAAACCCGGUGAUCUAGCCAUGGGCAGGUUGAAGGUUGGGUAACACUAACUGGAGGACCGAACCGACUAAUGUUGAAAAAUUAGCGGAUGACCUGUGGCUGGGGGUGAAAGGCCAAUCAAACCGGGAGAUAGCUGGUUCUCCCCGAAAGCUAUUUAGGUAGCGCCUCGUGAAUUCAUCUCCGGGGGUAGAGCACUGUUUCGGCUAGGGGGCCAUCCCGGCUUACCAACCCGAUGCAAACUGCGAAUACCGGAGAAUGUUAUCACGGGAGACACACGGCGGGUGCUAACGUCCGUCGUGAAGAGGGAAACAACCCAGACCGCCAGCUAAGGUCCCAAAGUCAUGGUUAAGUGGGAAACGAUGUGGGAAGGCCCAGACAGCCAGGAUGUUGGCUUAGAAGCAGCCAUCAUUUAAAGAAAGCGUAAUAGCUCACUGGUCGAGUCGGCCUGCGCGGAAGAUGUAACGGGGCUAAACCAUGCACCGAAGCUGCGGCAGCGACACUGUGUGUUGUUGGGUAGGGGAGCGUUCUGUAAGCCUGUGAAGGUGGCCUGUGAGGGUUGCUGGAGGUAUCAGAAGUGCGAAUGCUGACAUAAGUAACGAUAAAGCGGGUGAAAAGCCCGCUCGCCGGAAGACCAAGGGUUCCUGUCCAACGUUAAUCGGGGCAGGGUGAGUCGACCCCUAAGGCGAGGCCGAAAGGCGUAGUCGAUGGGAAACGGGUUAAUAUUCCCGUACUUGGUGUUACUGCGAAGGGGGACGGAGAAGGCUAUGUUGGCCGGGCGACGGUUGUCCCGGUUUAAGCGUGUAGGUGUGUGUUCCAGGUAAAUCCGGUUCACUUUAACACUGAGGCGUGACGACGAGGCACUACGGUGCUGAAGCAACAAAUGCCCUGCUUCCAGGAAAAGCCUCUAAGCAUCAGGUAACAUCAAAUCGUACCCCAAACCGACACAGGUGGUCAGGUAGAGAAUACCAAGGCGCUUGAGAGAACUCGGGUGAAGGAACUAGGCAAAAUGGUGCCGUAACUUCGGGAGAAGGCACGCUGACACGUAGGUGAAGUGAUUUACUCAUGGAGCUGAAGUCAGUCGAAGAUACCAGCUGGCUGCAACUGUUUAUUAAAAACACAGCACUGUGCAAACACGAAAGUGGACGUAUACGGUGUGACGCCUGCCCGGUGCCGGAAGGUUAAUUGAUGGGGUCAGCGCAAGCGAAGCUCCUGAUCGAAGCCCCGGUAAACGGCGGCCGUAACUAUAACGGUCCUAAGGUAGCGAAAUUCCUUGUCGGGUAAGUUCCGACCUGCACGAAUGGCGUAAUGAUGGCCAGGCUGUCUCCACCCGAGACUCAGUGAAAUUGAACUCGCUGUGAAGAUGCAGUGUACCCGCGGCAAGACGGAAAGACCCCGUGAACCUUUACUAUAGCUUGACACUGAACAUUGAGCCUUGAUGUGUAGGAUAGGUGGGAGGCUUUGAAGUGUGGACGCCAGUCUGCAUGGAGCCGACCUUGAAAUACCACCCUUUAAUGUUUGAUGUUCUAACGUGGACCCGUUACCCGGGUUGCGGACAGUGUCUGGUGGGUAGUUUGACUGGGGCGGUCUCCUCCUAAAGAGUAACGGAGGAGCACGAAGGUUGGCUAAUCCUGGUCGGACAUCAGGAGGUUAGUGCAAUGGCAUAAGCCAGCUUGACUGCGAGCGUGACGGCGCGAGCAGGUGCGAAAGCAGGUCAUAGUGAUCCGGUGGUUCUGAAUGGAAGGGCCAUCGCUCAACGGAUAAAAGGUACUCCGGGGAUAACAGGCUGAUACCGCCCAAGAGUUCAUAUCGACGGCGGUGUUUGGCACCUCGAUGUCGGCUCAUCACAUCCUGGGGCUGAAGUAGGUCCCAAGGGUAUGGCUGUUCGCCAUUUAAAGUGGUACGCGAGCUGGGUUUAGAACGUCGUGAGACAGUUCGGUCCCUAUCUGCCGUGGGCGCUGGAGAAUUGAGGGGGGCUGCUCCUAGUACGAGAGGACCGGAGUGGACGCAUCACUGGUGUUCGGGUUGUCAUGCCAAUGGCACUGCCCGGUAGCUAAAUGCGGAAGAGAUAAGUGCUGAAAGCAUCUAAGCACGAAACUUGCCCGAGAUGAGUUCUCCCUGAGACUUUAAGUCUCCUGAAGGAACGUUGAAGACGACGACGUUGAUAGGCCGGGUGUGUAAGCGCAGCGAUGCGUUGAGCUAACCGGUACUAAUGAACCGUGAGGCUUAACCUUACAACGCCGAAG
RNAcentral lists this ribosomal RNA (2926 nucleotides) under Salmonella enterica. Its description in RNAcentral is "23S ribosomal RNA". It matches the Rfam family "Bacterial large subunit ribosomal RNA". The record is from RNAcentral. Lineage: Bacteria; Pseudomonadati; Pseudomonadota; Gammaproteobacteria; Enterobacterales; Enterobacteriaceae.